AGAGUUUGAUCCUGGCUCAGGAUGAACGCUGGCGGCGUGCCUAAUACAUGCAAGUCGAGCGAACGGACGAGAAGCUUGCUUCUCUGAUGUUAGCGGCGGACGGGUGAGUAACACGUGGAUAACCUACCUAUAAGACUGGGAUAACUUCGGGAAACCGGAGCUAAUACCGGAUAAUAUUUUGAACCGCAUGGUUCAAAAGUGAAAGACGGUCUUGCUGUCACUUAUAGAUGGAUCCGCGCUGCAUUAGCUAGUUGGUAAGGUAACGGCUUACCAAGGCAACGAUGCAUAGCCGACCUGAGAGGGUGAUCGGCCACACUGGAACUGAGACACGGUCCAGACUCCUACGGGAGGCAGCAGUAGGGAAUCUUCCGCAAUGGGCGAAAGCCUGACGGAGCAACGCCGCGUGAGUGAUGAAGGUCUUCGGAUCGUAAAACUCUGUUAUUAGGGAAGAACAUAUGUGUAAGUAACUGUGCACAUCUUGACGGUACCUAAUCAGAAAGCCACGGCUAACUACGUGCCAGCAGCCGCGGUAAUACGUAGGUGGCAAGCGUUAUCCGGAAUUAUUGGGCGUAAAGCGCGCGUAGGCGGUUUUUUAAGUCUGAUGUGAAAGCCCACGGCUCAACCGUGGAGGGUCAUUGGAAACUGGAAAACUUGAGUGCAGAAGAGGAAAGUGGAAUUCCAUGUGUAGCGGUGAAAUGCGCAGAGAUAUGGAGGAACACCAGUGGCGAAGGCGACUUUCUGGUCUGUAACUGACGCUGAUGUGCGAAAGCGUGGGGAUCAAACAGGAUUAGAUACCCUGGUAGUCCACGC
Molecule: ribosomal RNA, 810 nt
Filed under: Staphylococcus aureus
Lineage: Bacteria; Bacillati; Bacillota; Bacilli; Caryophanales; Staphylococcaceae
Also listed under: 1 other name
Description: bacterial SSU rRNA
Rfam family: Bacterial small subunit ribosomal RNA
Source: RNAcentral